GGAAAGACAUAUAUUACCAGAAAUUAAUUCUGACACCGAAGAAGACUCAUCGGAUGAUUCCGAUUACGAGCCUUAGUUUUAAUUUAGAGGACGUAAUCCAUUAAUUUGUAUAACUAAAGACCUUUUCCUUUAUAGUUUACAUAUGUUGAAUUCAUAUUUCAGUUAUUUUAUAUGAAUUUUGGUGAUACAUGAUAAACAGGGAGUUAGUAUGGUUUACUAAUAUCGUCUGUUUUUUUUAAUGUAUUUUUUUCCUUAAGCCGACGAAAUACACCAUAAUUCGUCGGCUAAAACCAUCUUAGCCGACGAAUUAUAGUGUAUUUCGUCGGCUAAUAAAGUUUUAGCCGACGAAUAACCUAAUAUUUCGUCGGCUUUAGUUAUUUUUUAAUUUUUUAAUUACAUACUAUAGCCGACAAAUACGUUAGGGUAUUCGUCGGCUAAACUCUAAAAUUUUUCUAUUACCUACUAUAGCCCUAUCUUCGGUUGUUAUUUUCCGUAAAAUUUUUAAACGACUUCUUGCGUCUCAUCGGUUUGAAACUAUUUUCAGUUGGAGGUCCGGCCAAAAUACGUAAUUUAGACGGUCGAACGACCUUUUCCAUGCGUUUAGGGGUUUGACUUACGAGAUUGACCGUCCGGAUCGAUCCCCUAUUCUUGUCGGAUCAAGUUGAAUUUUUUUUCAUACAUGUAUUUUGUCAUGAUGGUCAGAUCUGACGGUCGGAUUUAUUUUUCUCAAGUUUGAUCAUCACAAUCACAACAUGCAUACUAAUGUUGUAUAACUUGUUUACCAAGUGUUAUGUAAAUGUUCCGUUUCAAAAACAAACUAUACGUAAAACCUUCAAACGCCAAAAAGUCAUGAAAUAAGAUAUGACGAGAAUGUUGAAAUACAUCAACGGUUGAAAAAUCACACUAUUCCGGUAAAUAUUCGGUGCCGAUAGUUGCGGUCAAUGCAAUUUUUCAUUCUUUCCCCCCUAUGAGUAGCCCUAUAUUCGGUGGUUAUUUUGCGUAAAAUUUUUAUACGACUUGUUGCGUGUCAUCGAU
RNAcentral lists this long non-coding RNA (1035 nucleotides) under Fragaria vesca (wild strawberry). Its description in RNAcentral is "long non-coding RNA (FVES_LNC004370)". Lineage: Eukaryota; Viridiplantae; Streptophyta; Magnoliopsida; Rosales; Rosaceae. The record is from RNAcentral.